Molecule: transfer RNA, 27 nt
Filed under: Mesoptychia rutheana
Lineage: Eukaryota; Viridiplantae; Streptophyta; Jungermanniopsida; Jungermanniales; Jungermanniaceae
Also listed under: 14 other names
Description: partial tRNA-His
Source: RNAcentral
UAGCCAAGUGGAUUAAGGCAGUGGAUU